AUGGGCGGAAGCCGAUUCACACCACCACUCAUGGAUGCUCGUGUAAGCCGCCCAACCAGAAGUAUCAAAAUCAAUGAGUUGAAGCCAAGCUCUGACCAGGCAAAAGGCUGCGUCAAUCGCGGGGAAGAUGGAAUCGUCGAUUCAGAAGUGCACGGUGAUGAAGGUGAAGCAAGCAGCUGUCGCCGACCAGCUCACCAACCCUGCCACACGGAGCCAUACAUGUGCAUCCUAUUUUACUGCCACAUGACGACGCAGGCGAUGCCAAACUACGCUUCAUCGAUGGUCGGAAAGGACGGCACCGCGGUGGAGGCCGUGUUGGUGUGCCACGCCGACACGGCCGCAUGCAACCCAAGGGGGUGUGGGCCCCUCAUCAUUCUUUCUUCCAAUCAAAUUCUCCCAGAUAAGCUUCCCCGUAAAAGCCCGUUGUCAUCUGUCCGUGCGUGUAGCAAAGCUCGUUAUCGUCUCCAGCGCACAAAACCAUUGAUCUCCCCCGCAUUUACUUUCUCCAUGUACUUUUCACCUCCUCCCAAUUUUCCCUUUCUCUUCAUCUCCUCCGCCUGGCCCCCCUACAUCAGUCGUUGCAAAACAACCAGAUUGAAUCCCCUCACAUUUAUCAGCGAUGGUUGUGCUUAUGGCGCGGUGCCGCUGCUAGAGAUCCGCGGGAUGCUGCCGACCCCGAACCCCGUUGUCGGUGAAUCAAGCCCCGCUCCACUGUCGGCGUCCUCCUCCAACAUCAGUUGUACUAAAGGUGGGAGCUCUCCUUCCUCUCUAUCUCAGAUCUUAGCGGUUUUUUUCAUUGUGCCCGGAGAGGUUAAUAUUUGGACUGUUCGUGAGUUGGGAGGUUGA
RNAcentral lists this ribosomal RNA (846 nucleotides) under Triticum aestivum (bread wheat). RNAcentral's name for it is "partial small subunit ribosomal RNA". Lineage: Eukaryota; Viridiplantae; Streptophyta; Magnoliopsida; Poales; Poaceae. The record is from RNAcentral.